This 190-nucleotide unclassified non-coding RNA is filed under the name soil metagenome. RNAcentral describes it as "partial internal transcribed spacer 1". The record is from RNAcentral.
UGAAUUACUAGCAUGCUCUAUGCUGCUAAUAAUCAUCGCUCUUGUGAACCGAAUGUGAGCUGUGCUGCUGUUUGCUGCUGCGGGGAGCAAUCUCCGCCGGGCGAGCGGGCCAGUCUUACAAACACACACACACACAUUGUCUUUGUUUAUAGCUUAUCAAACACACACGUAUUUUCAAUAAUACACACAA